CCAGUUCGGACUGUAGUCUGNAACCCGACUACACGAAGCUGGAAUCGCUAGUAAUCGCGAAUCAGAAUGUCGCGGUGAAUACGUUCCCGGGUCUUGUACACACCGCCCGUCACACCAUGGGAGUCGGGAAUGCCCGAAGUCAGUGACCCAACCUAUUGGAGGGAGCUGCCGAAGGCAGGUCUGAUAACUGGGGUGAAGUCGUAACAAGGUAUC
RNAcentral lists this ribosomal RNA (213 nucleotides) under uncultured bacterium. RNAcentral describes it as "partial 16S ribosomal RNA". It matches the Rfam family "Bacterial small subunit ribosomal RNA", at positions 1288 to 1500 of the family's 1533-position model. The record is from RNAcentral.